GAUAUCGAAAAAGAAAAAUGUGGGAAUUGGUUCCUUCGCUUUCACACACUGUUUCUGUGAAGUUUAAAUUUCAGAUUCCAAAACCCAGAAAUUGUAUAACAAUAAGGCCAUGGAUGAACAAGUACAACUCAAUUCGAUGUGCCGGAAAAGUCAAUCGAUGGUCCCUUAAUGGCAUGAAUGCCCUUGUCACUGGUGGCACUAGAGGCAUUGGGCAUGCGAUAGUGGAGGAAUUGUGUGGACUGGGAGCCACUGUGCAUACGUGUGCCCGAAAUGAAGAUGAGCUUGGAACAUGUUUGAGGAGCUGGAAAGAUGAGGGCUUUACAGUGUCUGGUUCCUUGUGUGAUGUGUCUUCUCAAGUUGAUCGCCAAAAGUUAAUGGAGGUUGUUUCGUCUACAUUCAAUGGGAAGCUCGACAUUCUUAUAAACAACGCGGGGACUAAUAUUCGCAAAGCUAUGGUGGAUUUUACAGCUGAAGAGUUUUCCAGCCUCAUGGCAACAAAUUUUGAAUCUGUUUUCCAUCUGUGUCAGCUGGCCUAUCCCCUUUUGAAAGCAUCCGGGGCUGGAAGUGUUGUGUUCACUUCUUCUGUCUCAGGUUUUGUCUCAUUGAAAUCUAUGUCUUUACAAGGAGCAACAAAAGGAGCAAUUAAUCAACUUACAAAAAAUUUGGCAUGCGAGUGGGCUAAAGACAACAUCAGGAGUAAUGCUGUUGCACCUUGGUACAUCAAAACAUCCAUGGUGGAGCAAGUACUGAGUAAUAAAGAUUAUUUACAAGAAGUAUAUGACCGCACUCCACUGGGGCGCCUGGGAGAACCAUCUGAGGUUUCAUCUCUUGUGGGAUUCCUUUGUUUGCCUGCAUCUUCCUACAUCACCGGUCAGAUAAUCUGUGUUGAUGGUGGAAUGUCUGUAAAUGGCUUCUACCCUCACCAUGACUAGAGGAAUAACUGCCCAUAGAGUAAUGCUACAGAUUUGCAGGAGAAAAGUUUGUCGCGUGUGCAUCUCAAAUGCAUCAUUGGCUGGACAUUCCAUGAGUAGUGGAGAAGUUGCUUCUUAGCAGCAAUAUACACCCGAUGAGCAAUCGUUACAUUAUUGGAGGGCGUCUUAUGGACACAAGCUAACGUUGGAUGGAUGGAAGCAAUACAUGCGAUUAUCAACAAAAUUGUCCAAAAUAUGGGAAACCUUGCAAUUGUUGCUUGCAUUAUUAUAAGUAGCAAUGACUAUGAACUUUUUGAAAAUGGAUACAAGGGUGAGUAAGCAUCUUUCCACCCUUAGCCAUAUAUCGUGACAGUGAAGAUUUUACCAUAGUUGAGAUCAAAAUGAUCAAUGAACUGAGGACAGACAAUUUGUAUAGCCUCUUCUCUCUUUGUAUAAAAGCUAGAACACUACUGUCACUUGUAAGCCAACAAAGGUAAUUGUGUCAGUAAACAAGUAGACAAUAAAAUGAUAAAGAGAUGGAA
RNA transcript from Solanum tuberosum (potato), 1453 nucleotides. It is a transcript of the gene named tropinone reductase homolog At2g29260, chloroplastic-like, with no coding region annotated. NCBI's taxonomy places the organism in Eukaryota, Viridiplantae, Streptophyta, Magnoliopsida, Solanales, Solanaceae. The transcript is spliced from 6 exons. The record is from RefSeq and is a predicted model, not a curated record.